This is a long non-coding RNA of Anolis carolinensis (green anole), 1443 nucleotides long. RefSeq lists it as uncharacterized. The record is from RefSeq and is a predicted model, not a curated record. Lineage: Eukaryota; Metazoa; Chordata; Lepidosauria; Squamata; Anolidae. The transcript has 4 exons.
GGUGGGGGAUAAUCUCCAUUGAACUCAAUGAUAUUCCAUCCAAGUGCAUAAGUUCAACAUGUAAAAUAUGUGGCACUUUAACAAAACAUCUUCCGCCAGCUUGAUAGGUAACCUUGAGCUUUUAAUUAGGACUGCAAAGAAAUCACGUGAAGCAAUGUUACCAUUUGAACUGCUAGACCAGAUGAGGAAUUCCAUCAACAAAAAGAGCAUAGGACAAAUUCCUGUCUUUCCUUUGGAAUAUGGUUGCUCCUCCUUUGUAGCCUUUGGAAAAGAGCAGAAGGAAUUGUUUCAUUUAGUGGCUGUCCCUGUGUUUGUUACUGAGUUAAGAAGAGACUACCCGUGGCUACCUAUUUUUCUCAUUGGUGUCUCCAAACUAGGAACAUUCUUCACGCAAGUAUAGCUGCUUUCCAGCAAUGCCUCCAGGUCUGAGCUUCAAGAGAGCAAAGAGAGAAAAUAAAGAGGAGUGCCAAGGAGAGGAAAAACCCUGCCAGAAAAAGCAUGGGGAUCUCCUUAAGAAGAAAUUUUCUAUAUUGAAUCUUUUUUCUGGAUACUCAAAGAGUAGAGUUGCUCAAGGAAAGAAUUUGUUCUCUGAAGACAAAAAGAGAGGCCUGCGAAGGAAAGAGUCCAAGAAGGUGAAGGCCCCAAGAGAGGAGGCCAAUUCCUUUAGGAAGGUUCACUCAGGGAAAAUGUGUCCUAAAUGUGAAAUCGUUGUCUGUGGGGUGUGUAACAUGUUGCAUACAGAGAGUAGCUUUAUUGCUCACAGCUUGCUAGACCACUAUGACAAGGGAAGGCAUUCCUCCUGCUGUUCCAGUUCUGGGUUCCCCCUCAGUUGCCAUAAAUGUAAGUACAGUUCAGGACCCCCUGCAAGACCUUGUCCACUGUCUUGCAAUUCCACAACAAAAUGAGAAAAAUAAGCCUAGGACUUUUCUUUUUCAUUGGACUUUCUCUGUUGAGAAUGGGAGAUCAACUGCUGGUUUCCAUAUACUUGUCCUACAGAGCAGGCAUUUAAUACUCAUAUUGGACGUGUUCAGAUGCCUCAAGAGCAUGCACUGCCACAGUCAGAGUGCAGUGCCAGUAUGUGGAAUGGACAACAAAAAACUGGGUGCUGGACGCCUCCUGGUGCACUUAAAAGUAGCCAGAACUCGAGAAAUUUACUUUUAUGAACUAUAAUAUUCAGAAACCUGCUGUCAGCAUGGCAAGUGGGCACAAUGACUGGAGGAUUCUGGAACCUGUAGUUCACCAAAUUAACCUUCUAUGCUUUAAAUGUAGUUGAAAGUUGUAUUGCUUUUGAGAGAAUUGGGUCACUAAGCAAACUUUAGCAGAGCAGGCUAGUAUAGUGAUAAAUAACCUAUAGCCUGUUGUCCCAUACGUAUUUUUGUUUGUAAUCUAGAAUGUUAUUUUAUUGACAUUUUAAACAACCAAUAAACAAUAUUUGUAUCUACU